AAUCGAACGUGGAGAUAGCUGGUUCUCCCCGAAAUAGCUUUAGGGCUAGCCUCGAGGUAGAGAUUGCAGGCGGUAGAGCACUGAUCAGGAGAGGGGCCUACCCGGCUACCAAACCCAGUCAAACUACGAAUGGCUGCAAUUAUACUCGGGAGUCAGACUACGACUUAUAAGGGCCGUGGUCAAAAGGGAAACAGCCCAGAUCAUCAGCUAAGGUCCCAAAUGCCGUGCUAAGUGGCGAAGGAUGUGGCGUUUCAUAAACAACCAGGAUGUUGGCUCAGAAGCAGCCACCAUUUAAAGAGUGCGUAAUAGCUCACUGGUCGAGAGACGCUGCGCCGAAAAUGUCCGGGGCUCAAGCACGGAACCGAAGCUAUGGCAUUGACUAUGUCAAUGGGUAGGGGAGCGUUCUUAACAGGAAGAAGCAUGACCGGAAGGACAUGUGGACCGUUAAGAAGUGAGAAUGCCGGUAUGAGUAUCGAAAAGAAAGGUGAGAAUCCUUUCCACCGAAAGCCCGAGGGUUCCUGAGCAACGAUCGUCGUCUCAGGGUAAGUCGGGACCUAAGCCGAGGCGGAGACGCAUAGGCGAUGGACAACAGGUUGAAAUUCCUGUACCGGAUACAAUCGUUUGAGCGAUGGAGCGACGCAGAAAGGCAUAUGAUCGCGCGACUGGAAGAGCGCGUCCAAGUGCGUAUGUUGAAUCGGAGGCAAAUCCCUGAUUCUGAAAGCAGAGACACGAUGGGGAGUUAUACGAAAGUAUGACGAACUCAUAGAUCCUACACUGCCAAGAAAAACUUCUAGUGAGAAAGUAUCCGCCCGUACCGUAAACCGACACAGGUAGGCGGGGAGAGAAUCCUAAGGUGCGCGGGAAAACCCUCGUUAAGGAACUCGGCAAAUUGCAUCCGUAACUUAGGGAGAAGGAUGACCUUAAGUAAGCGAAAGGGAGAAACCCCUGGAACAGAACAAGGUGGCAGAAAAGAGGCCCAAGCAACUGUUUACCAAAAACACAGGUGCCUGCGAAAGCGAAAGCUGAAGUAUAGGUGCUGACGCCUGCCCGGUGCUGGAAGGUUAAGGAGAGAUGUCAGAGCAAUCGAAGCAUUGAACUGAAGCCCCAGUGAACGGCGGCCGUAACUAUAACGGUCCUAAGGUAGCGAAAUUCCUUGUCGGGUAAGUUCCGACCCGCAUGAAAGGCGUAAUGAUUUGGGCACUGUCUCAACGAGGGGCCCGGUGAAAUUGAAAUACCUGUGAAGAUGCAGGUUACCCGCGACUGGACAGAAAGACCCCAUGGAGCUUCACUGCAGCUUGAGAUUGAAUCUCGGUGAUGCAUGCACAGGAUAGGUGGGAGACUAAGAAGUAUGGGCUUUGGCUUAUACCGAGUCGAUGUUGGGAUACCACCCUUGUAUUGCUGAGAUUCUAACACGGAGGCUAACAACCUCGUGGACCAUCUCAGGUAGGCGGUUUGACUGGGGCGGUCGCCUCCGAAAGAGUAACGGAGGCGCCCAAAGGUUCCCUCAGGUCGGACAGAAACCGACCGAAGAGUGCAAAGGCAGAAGGGAGCUUGACUGCGAGACAGACAAGUCGAGCAGAGACGAAAGUCGGGCUUAGUGAUCCGGUGGUACUGAGUGGAAAGGCCAUCGCUCAACGGAUAAAAGCUACCCUGGGGAUAACAGGCUAAUCUCUCCCAAGAGUUCAUAUCGACGGGGAGGUUUGGCACCUCGAUGUCGGCUCAUCACAUCCUGGAGCUGGAGUAGGUUCCAAGGGUUGGGCUGUUCGCCCAUUAAAGUGGUACGCGAGCUGGGUUCAAAACGUCGUGAGACAGUUUGGUUCAUAUCCAUCGCGGGCGCAAGAAGUUUGAGGGAGGCUGCUCCUAGUACGAGAGGACCGGAGUGGACGGAUCAACGGUGUACCAGUUGUCACGCCAGUGGCACGGCUGGAAAGCCGCAUCCGGAAAGGAUAAACGCUGAAAGCAUCUAAGCGUGAAGCCCGUCCCGAGAUGAGACUUCU
This 1997-nucleotide ribosomal RNA is filed under the name human gut metagenome. RNAcentral describes it as "bacterial LSU rRNA". It matches the Rfam family "Bacterial large subunit ribosomal RNA", at positions 831 to 2814 of the family's 2925-position model. The record is from RNAcentral.